GGUUUUAUAGUUAAAUUAUAAUAUUAGACUGCAAUUCUAAAGUUAUAUUAUCAAUAUAAUAUUAAGACCU
This 70-nucleotide transfer RNA is filed under the name Neoasterolepisma foreli. RNAcentral describes it as "tRNA-Cys". It matches the Rfam family "tRNA". Rfam says of the family: Transfer RNA (tRNA) molecules are approximately 80 nucleotides in length. Their secondary structure includes four short double-helical elements and three loops (D, anti-codon, and T loops). Further hydrogen bonds mediate the characteristic L-shaped molecular structure. tRNAs have two regions of fundamental functional importance: the anti-codon, which is responsible for specific mRNA codon recognition, and the 3' end, to which the tRNAs corresponding amino acid is attached (by aminoacyl-tRNA synthetases). tRNAs cope with the degeneracy of the genetic code in two manners: having more than one tRNA (with a specific anti-codon) for a particular amino acid; and 'wobble' base-pairing, i.e. permitting non-standard base-pairing at the 3rd anti-codon position. The record is from RNAcentral. Lineage: Eukaryota; Metazoa; Arthropoda; Insecta; Zygentoma; Lepismatidae.